UGGGGAAUAUUGGACAAUGGGCGCAAGCCUGAUCCAGCCAUGCCGCGUGAGGGAUGAAGGCCCUAGGGUUGUAAAGCUCUUUCACCGGUGAAGAUAAUGACGGUAACCGGAGAAGAAGACCCGGCUAACUUCGUGCCAGCAGCCGCGGUAAUACGAAGGGGGCUAGCGUUGUUCGGAUUUACUGGGCGUAAAGCGCACGUAGGCGGACUUUUAAGUCAGGGGUGAAAUCCCGGGGCUCAACCCCGGAACUGCCUUUGGUACUGGAAGUCUUGAGUAUGGUAGGGGUGAGUGGAAUUCCGGGUGUACAUGUGAAAUUCUUAGAUAUUCGGAGGAACACCGGUGGCGAAGGCGGCGCACUGGACCAUUACUGACGCUGAGGUGCGAAAGCGUGGGGAGCAAACAGG
RNAcentral lists this ribosomal RNA (404 nucleotides) under Actinomycetes bacterium. RNAcentral describes it as "Actinobacteria bacterium partial 16S ribosomal RNA". It matches the Rfam family "Bacterial small subunit ribosomal RNA", at positions 355 to 776 of the family's 1533-position model. Lineage: Bacteria; Bacillati; Actinomycetota; Actinomycetes. The record is from RNAcentral.